This 77-nucleotide transfer RNA is filed under the name Candidatus Woesebacteria bacterium. Its description in RNAcentral is "tRNA-Val". It matches the Rfam family "tRNA". From Rfam's summary of the family: Transfer RNA (tRNA) molecules are approximately 80 nucleotides in length. Their secondary structure includes four short double-helical elements and three loops (D, anti-codon, and T loops). The record is from RNAcentral. Lineage: Bacteria; Candidatus Woeseibacteriota.
GGACGAUUAGCUCAGUUGGUUAGAGCGCUUCGUUUACAUCGAAGAGGUCAUAGGUCCGAGCCCUAUAUCGUCCACCA